UACGUAGGGCGCAAGCGUUAUCCGGAAUUAUUGGGCGUAAAGAGCUCGUAGGCGGUUUGUCGCGUCUGCCGUGAAAGUCCGGGGCUCAACUCCGGAUCUGCGGUGAGUACGGGCAGACUAGAGUGAUGUAGGGGAGACUGGAAUUCCUGGUGUAGCGGUGAAAUGCGCAGAUAUCAGGAGGAACACCGAUGGCGAAGGCAGGUCUCUGGGCAUUAACUGACGCUGAGGAGCGAAAGCAUGGGGAGCGAACAGG
RNAcentral lists this ribosomal RNA (253 nucleotides) under uncultured bacterium. RNAcentral describes it as "partial 16S ribosomal RNA". It matches the Rfam family "Bacterial small subunit ribosomal RNA", at positions 524 to 776 of the family's 1533-position model. The record is from RNAcentral.